Mycena rebaudengoi is the source of this 96-nucleotide non-coding RNA. Lineage: Eukaryota; Fungi; Basidiomycota; Agaricomycetes; Agaricales; Mycenaceae. The record is from the annotation of a GenBank genome assembly.
GACCUGUUGGCGCACGCGGUAGCGCACCCACAACUUUGAUGGUCUCGGCAGAAAUUACAUAAGCGGGAGAGCCCAGUUCGACUCUGGGAUGGGUCA